RNAcentral lists this ribosomal RNA (374 nucleotides) under uncultured organism. RNAcentral's name for it is "bacterial SSU rRNA". It matches the Rfam family "Bacterial small subunit ribosomal RNA", at positions 526 to 896 of the family's 1533-position model. The record is from RNAcentral.
CGGGGGGAGCAAGCGUUGUUCGGAUUUACUGGGCGUAAAGGGCGCGUAGGCGGCCAGCGCAAGUCAGUUGUGAAAUCUCCGAGCUUAACUCGGAAAGGUCAACUGAUACUGCGCGGCUAGAGUGCAGAAGGGGCAACUGGAAUUCUUGGUGUAGCGGUGAAAUGCGUAGAUAUCAAGAGGAACACCUGCGGCGAAGGCGGGUUGCUGGGCUGACACUGACGCUGAUGCGCGAAAGCCAGGGGAGCGAACGGGAUUAGAUACCCCGGUAGUCCUGGCCUUAAACGAUGUAUGCUUGGUGUCUGGGGUUAUAAAGUCCCCGGGUGCCGUCGCUAACGCUUUAAGCAUUCCGCCUGGGGAGUACGGUCGCAAGACUG